CACGUAGGCGGAUCAGUCAGUCAGGGGUGAAAUCCCGGGGCUCAACCCCGGAACUGCCUUUGAUACUGCUGGUCUUGAGGUCGAGAGAGGUGAGUGGAAUUCCGAGUGUAGAGGUGAAAUUCGUAGAUAUUCGGAGGAACACCAGUGGCGAAGGCGGCUCACUGGCUCGAUACUGACGCUGAGGUGCGAAAGCGUGGGGAGCAAACA
RNAcentral lists this ribosomal RNA (207 nucleotides) under uncultured bacterium. RNAcentral describes it as "partial 16S ribosomal RNA". It matches the Rfam family "Bacterial small subunit ribosomal RNA", at positions 568 to 774 of the family's 1533-position model. The record is from RNAcentral.